RNAcentral lists this microRNA (20 nucleotides) under Chiloscyllium plagiosum (whitespotted bambooshark). Its description in RNAcentral is "microRNA PC-5p-303306_2". Lineage: Eukaryota; Metazoa; Chordata; Chondrichthyes; Orectolobiformes; Hemiscylliidae. The record is from RNAcentral.
AGGAUUAUGAUAUUGUGGUG